CAAGUGUCAGCAAGGCAAAUGGGACAAAUUCUGAGACUUGCAGACAGUAGACCAGCCAACCAUACCUGGCACUCAGGUUGAAGUUUACUACCAUUUCCAUGAGCAUCACUGCACAGUGCUGAGCUCUUACUUAGGUGGUUUGACAAGUCAAUGUCCUUCCUCCUUCGUUUCCCUUCUUGAGAUCUACUUCCACCAUGAAGACCGUGAGAAAAGACUCUGUCAUAUCCCUGUUAUCCUCAUGGAGAAAUGGACAAGAGAGGCAGCAAUGAAGAACACACCAUGACCCAACUAAGACAAGAAAGAUGAGGUUUGUAAGCCAAGACUAAGGAGAACACCUUUCAGAAUCUC
This 348-nucleotide long non-coding RNA is filed under the name Numida meleagris (helmeted guineafowl). RNAcentral's name for it is "lncRNA (ENSNMEG00000011571.1)". Lineage: Eukaryota; Metazoa; Chordata; Aves; Galliformes; Numididae. The record is from RNAcentral.